UACGGAGGGUGCAAACGUUGUUCGGAAUCAUUGGGCGUAAAGCGUGUGUAGGCGGUCUGUUAAGUCGGGUGUGAAAGCCCUGGGCUCAACCCAGGAAGUGCAUUCGAAACUAGCAGACUUGAGUACGGGAGAGGGUCGCGGAAUUCCCGGUGUAGAGGUGAAAUUCGUAGAUAUCGGGAGGAACACCAGUGGCGAAGGCGGCGACCUGGACCGAUACUGACGCUGAGACACGAAAGCGUGGGGAGCAAACAGG
This 253-nucleotide ribosomal RNA is filed under the name uncultured bacterium. RNAcentral's name for it is "partial 16S ribosomal RNA". It matches the Rfam family "Bacterial small subunit ribosomal RNA", at positions 524 to 776 of the family's 1533-position model. The record is from RNAcentral.